Molecule: long non-coding RNA, 1583 nt
Organism: Mytilus trossulus (common blue mussel)
Lineage: Eukaryota; Metazoa; Mollusca; Bivalvia; Mytilida; Mytilidae
Exons: 3
Source: RefSeq, a predicted model, not a curated record
UUCUCUGUCUCGAAUCCGCAACCGGUGACCCCGUAUCAAACAUAGCGACCAACACCUCACAUGACGUAUUCUCGAUGUUGAGGUAUUGACAAUACACAAUCACAUUUAUCGAUAUACAGCAAGUAAGGCUAGUAAUUUGGUGUUGAAUGCUAGUAGAUCAGAAUUUUUCAAUUGAACUUUCCCAGUUUAAGGGGCACUAGCUGCCAAAUUCAUGUUCUUCAUCGAUUUUAAUAAAAUUCAAAUAACGUGUAUAUAGUGUUGAAUUGUUUAUUAAAAUGUUACGCACAAUCUUGGCUGAUAUGCAUAAAACCAUUAUAUUUCAUGACAGUGCAUGAAAAAGAAAUUGACUUGAUUAUACCAGAACCAGAGACAUAUAUAUUGCAUCUAAUAUCUCUGCCAAAACUAAAAAAUAAACUACCGUAAGUCCACAUAAGAGGGUAUGGGUGUGAAUUAACAGAAUAGAGAACAAAGGACAAAGAAAAAAAAAGGAAUAAAGAAUAGUGAAAGAAAGAGAAUAAUGGAAAAAAGUGUAAGUUAUUAAAAAUAUAACUAAAAAAAAGAAGACAGAAAAAAAGACACCCCCUCCGAGACGAGCCUUACAUGCACUGUUAUUUGACGCUGCCGAGUUAUUUUGAGAUUAAGACAUGUAUUAGUAGUCAGCCCGUAAAGCCUCUUGCACCAAUUUGAGGAUUACCAAAGGUUAAUUUUACGGCUUAGAAAUAAACAUAAUUGACAAGUUUCCUUCCCCUGCACUCUCGAUCCCACGUGUAAAUAGCACGUACGGAAUUUCAAAUAAGACAUUGAUACAUUACAACACUUGCCGUCAGUAUUUGGAUAUAUUGAUUAAGAAGGUUGGCAGCAAGAUGAAAAGGACAAGUAUGCAGUUCAAAAUUCAAAAUGCGGAUGAGCUGAGGUUCAAUGUCUUACCUUUGCAGAUUUUCAUAUUUUGCAUGAAUGAAUUGAAAGGUUAUAUGAUGGACGGCAGAGAAAGAAAAAAACAACUUUUUAAUUAUCCUGCUCCUGGAUAAAUGUAAAACAUCUUGUUUUUAGAAGGAUUGAAAUUCACCACCUAGAAUAAAUGGAGAAAACAUAGAAACAAGACCAGAAUAAAUUCAAAGACAAAAGUUGGAUUGGUUAUUAUUUUCAUCACUCAGUCAAUGAUUUGAAGUUCUUUUGAAUACAAAAAAAUAUUGAAACCACAAUAAUGUCAAAGUUCUGUGCUGAAUGGUCAAAAAGUGGACUAUAACAUCAAACAAAGCUGGAUGAUAAGAAACUAUUAAUGUUUUGUGUUGAGGGAUAUUGUGAAAAAAAAAGAUUUACUUAAAUAGCUACUAGUAUGUUAAGCCUAACAAUAGAGGUUUUAUUGAUUUCAAAUGGUAAAUAAUUGUGUUUCAAGAAUUAGUAUUCUGUAAUUCAUGAAUAAACAUAUAUUGAUACUUACAUUAUCUGCUUUGUUGUUUAAAAGUUAAGCUUUGAACAGUUAUAGAACAAUAUGCUAAAUUAACAUUUCCCAAGAAAAAAAGAUAUUCAAUUAAAAAGAUUCAUAUUAUAAUAAUUUACUACCAAAUAGAAUACAUUGUAAC